GGAAGAGUCGGCGGUGCCAGGAGAUUUUGAUCAGGGGACUCAGCACCCCAGCGUGUAGGUUGUGAUUCGGAUCCAUGUUUGAGUCAAUCUAUAAUCUCUGUAAGAAUCCCUACAUCUGAGCACUUCUAUUUAUACAUAUAUUGGAUUUAUAGUUGGAUAUAUUUUAUCAGUAUGUUGCUAUUUAUUUUUGAGCUUGUAUGACACUAUGAGGUGUGCAUUUUGUUUAUUAUGAAAGUAUUGGAAUAAUUAAAUUGGGAAGGAAUAACAUAUUUUUGAGAAAUUAUGAAAAUAUGUGACGUGAUUGAAAUGUGAUUAAACAUGUAAAACUAGACAUGUAAAAUGGAUUGGACUAACCUUGUCAUGAGAUAGCCUCUACGAGCUUAUGUGUAGGAUAGCUGCCUCGAGCUUAUGCGUGGGAUAGCCUCUACGAGCUUAUGCGUAGGAUAGCCUCCACGGGCUUACGCGUGGGAUAGCCUCUACGAGCUUAUGCGUAGGAUAGCCUCCACGGGCUUACGCGUGGGAUAGCUGCCACGAGCUUAUGCGUGGGAUUUGUGCAGUCUUGGACUGGGUCAUGAACUUGGUUAGUCCAACGCCAGAAGUAAAAAGUCUGAAGACUUGGGAAUCAUGGUAUUACGUGAAUGAAUCACGAAAUGUGAAAAAGGGAUUUAUGUAUACAAAAUGGUUAUUUACAUAUUUGUUGUUUGUUGAGCCUAAAAAGGAUUUGUGUAUAUGUACUGAUUAUAUACACUUGUUGUUGUUGAGCUUUUGAAAAGAUGAAAUGACAUUUAUUGACGUUUUGAUGAAAUGAUAUUAUUUUGAUGUUUUGAUCAUUUUAUCAUAAUUACUGUGUGUGGCUGUUGGGAUUCUUACUGGGCUGGAAAAGCUCAUACUACAUUUACUUUCUUUUUCAGAGGCACUGAAUUUGUAGAGAUCAAUGGGUGGGACGAGAAAUGAGAUCAGCAUGGAGUCUGAUUGCUGGAUAGAUAGGAGUUAAUCUAUCUUUUGUUUAUGGACAUUGAAAAAUUAUGUAAUAAAUCAGUACAUUUUGGUUGGAUUUGAUUUAAUUUCAUUAAUAAUUAAUUUUGGCAUUUAUGGAAUUAUUGGAAUUGUUGUUUAUCUUAGGCCUUGCAUGAUCUUUAGGGCAUUGCUCUAGGGCUCAUGCGGCCGGUCACGUGCCGGACCCGGGAGGUGGGUUCGGGGCGUGACAGAGUGGUAUCAGAGCUUAAGGUUAAGGUAUCCUAGGGUUUAGGUUCAGGUGAGUGUGAGUGGGAAAUUAUGACAGGAAAACUAUCAGAGCCUUGGUUUAUAAUCACCUGAGAUUGUAACAGGAAUGAUGUUGUAAUCUAAGGUUUAAGACCACUAGGGACUGUGGCCUUAGCN
Molecule: long non-coding RNA, 1380 nt
Filed under: Phoenix dactylifera (date palm)
Lineage: Eukaryota; Viridiplantae; Streptophyta; Magnoliopsida; Arecales; Arecaceae
Description: long non-coding RNA (PDAC_LNC007726)
Source: RNAcentral